AGGACGAACGCUGGCGGCGCGCUUAACACAUGCAAGUCGAACGGGGUCCUUCGGGGCUCAGUGGCGAACGGGUGCGUAACACGUGAGUGACCUGCCCCUGUAUGGGGGAUAACCCGGGGAAACCCGGGCUAAUACCGCAUGUUCUCUUAGGGCUUCCGGGCUUUAGGAGCAAAGGUGCUUUACGGCAUCGUGCAGGGAGGGGCUCGCGGCGUAUCAGCUAGUUGGUGAGGUAACGGCUCACCAAGGCUAUGACGCGUAGGGGUCUGAGAGGAUGGCCCCCCAGAUUGGGACUGAGAUACGGCCCAGACUCCUACGGGAGCAGCAGUGGGAAUCUGCGCAAGU
Molecule: ribosomal RNA, 342 nt
Filed under: uncultured soil bacterium
Lineage: Bacteria
Description: bacterial SSU rRNA
Rfam family: Bacterial small subunit ribosomal RNA
Source: RNAcentral